Homo sapiens (human) is the source of this 732-nucleotide long non-coding RNA. Ensembl annotates it as long intergenic non-protein coding RNA 2221. NCBI's taxonomy places the organism in Eukaryota, Metazoa, Chordata, Mammalia, Primates, Hominidae. The record is from Ensembl.
GGGAUGCAAUUCAACACGUAAUAUUCCCUAACACAAUAUUUCCAUAACAGUCUGUAGCGUCUUCUUCAGGCUAAGGGAUUGGGGCCUCAUCUAUCAGAGUUGUAAUAAGGAACAAAGGUUGUUGAAGAAUUGAAUAUAUUACUCCAGCUAUCGUCAACAAACAUGCUUCAACAACAGGAUCCUCACUGUUUGGAAGACAGCCCCUGAGACCCAGAGCAAAUGGGUCAAAGUCUCAGUUACAUCAGUAUAACUACAAAGACAAUAAUUCUUACCUCUCUCACAGGAUCCAGUGAAAAAGGACAUAAAAGAGUAUUUGAAAUCAGCAAGACUGAAGCUCUACAAAGACUGAUAUUUUAAACAUGGCCACUGUGACCUACUUAUAACCACGUGUCAACUUUAACACCGGAUUCCAAAAACAAGGCACAAUGUGAGAUGAAAUGAUAAUCAAAGUGGAUUACUGGAGGUUUGCUUGGAAUCCUGGUCUUCCAUGUGGACAUCGUUUUUUGGGGACAGCAUCUGGGGCUUCCUUCUGCUACCACAACCAUCCUCAAAGUAUAGUCUGGAGACCUCGAACCUCUAUUUGAGCAACAAAGUUGAGAUGUCCCAAUGGAGUCCAGUUGGUGAUUACAUCAUUAGAAGGUGGUUCCCAGCCUGUGGUCCGGUCCCCAAAUGAAUCAAUCGAUUUGGUUGUUCCCAGUUUUUUUCUAUUACAAAUAAAGCUGAAUCAUACAA